UAUUCCUUUUGCCCUGUCUAGUCUCUGUUCCAGGUCAGCCUUUCCAGGCAACAAUGGAAUGGGACACAGAUUGAGUUUUAAGACUGAGAGAAAGUCAAUUCUGGUAUGAACCAGCCCUUUUGGAUCACUUCAGAAAGCACAGCUGAUGAUGGUCCAAUGAAAUCAGUGUUGAAUUAGGUGAGGGGGUAAUUCAAUAUUCUUUUUGCAGCAUUUCCCCUCUGCAAGACUUAAUCCUCUGUUGCUAUCUGAUUUCUCAGUCACUCUGCCGCUGCCAAACGGGUUUAACGUGUGAAACUCGAGCCCUUGGCAGCCAGGACACUGCAGGGUCCCACUCCCACCUCCCAGUGCAGAACAAAGAACAGCACAGAACCUCCGCAGGUUCUGCAGCCCCACUCCCUCGGAUCAUCCUGAGCACUGGAGGAUCUCUCUCAUCCAUGGAGCUUCCAUGCCAGUGCCUCUGGAAACUGGGAACAGCUUUCCCAGCGCCUUCACAGACAGGAGUGAGCACACAGGGCACAGAGAAGAGCUGAGCUGGCAGCUGUGAAUAAGGACUACCCAGUGCUCUGCCUUAGUGGCCUCCAUCAAGCCAAACAUCAGAAGGAACACUCUGCAGAUGCACAUUGAAGAUUGUCUGUGAAGAACUGCAAAGGGUUUGGUAUGUGUGGUUAUCAGCAGAGUAGAGCACAGAUGACACUGACUUCCACAGCUCCAUUUGCUGGACAAGACCUUGGCUUUGGGCUCCUUUCACCUCCUUAUUCCUCAAGCUAUAAAUGAUGGGAUUCAAUAAAGGAGUCACCAGAGAAUAGGAAAGGGAGA
Molecule: long non-coding RNA, 816 nt
Organism: Catharus ustulatus (Swainson's thrush)
Lineage: Eukaryota; Metazoa; Chordata; Aves; Passeriformes; Turdidae
Exons: 3
Source: RefSeq, a predicted model, not a curated record